This 29-nucleotide non-coding RNA is filed under the name Rattus norvegicus (Norway rat). Lineage: Eukaryota; Metazoa; Chordata; Mammalia; Rodentia; Muridae. The record is from RNAcentral.
UGUGACCAUCUUCCUUUGAGACAUGCUGC